AUUGAACGCUGGCGGCAUGCCUUACACAUGCAAGUCGAACGGCAGCACGGGAGCAAUCCUGGUGGCGAGUGGCGAACGGGUGAGUAAUAUAUCGGAACGUGCCCGGUCGUGGGGGAUAACGUAGCGAAAGCUACGCUAAUACCGCAUACGAUCUACGGAUGAAAGCGGGGGAUCGUAAGACCUCGCGCGAUUGGAGCGGCCGAUAUCAGAUUAGGUAGUUGGUGAGGUAAAGGCUCACCAAGCCAACGAUCUGUAGCUGGUCUGAGAGGACGACCAGCCACACUGGAACUGAGACACGGUCCAGACUCCUACGGGAGGCAGCAGUGGGGAAUUUUGGACAAUGGGCGAAAGCCUGAUCCAGCAAUGCCGCGUGAGUGAUGAAGGCCUUAGGGUUGUAAAGCUCUUUACCCGGGAUGAUAAUGACAGUACCGGGAGAAUAAGCUCCGGCUAACUCCGUGCCAGCAGCCGCGGUAAGUGACUAC
RNAcentral lists this ribosomal RNA (482 nucleotides) under uncultured bacterium. Its description in RNAcentral is "bacterial SSU rRNA". It matches the Rfam family "Bacterial small subunit ribosomal RNA", at positions 30 to 526 of the family's 1533-position model. The record is from RNAcentral.